Molecule: long non-coding RNA, 615 nt
Filed under: Anas platyrhynchos platyrhynchos (common mallard)
Lineage: Eukaryota; Metazoa; Chordata; Aves; Anseriformes; Anatidae
Description: lncRNA (ENSAPLG00000018506.1)
Source: RNAcentral
UUUCCAUAUGACAAAGGAAAGAUUGUUAAAGCUGAACCGAAUUUUGGAUUGCACAUUUGGAUUCAUACAUGUCUUGGCAGUUUUGGAAAGGAUGUAUUUGGUUUCUGUGCUGUAGAACCUCCACCUCCUUGGGGAGGGGGAGUAGUAGAGUCAGCAGCAAGUAGGAGAGGUCUUGGCAGGGUGGCCUCUUCAAACUUUGCUGCCAGGAAGCUAGGAGAGCCCUAAUUAGGCAGGCAAGUAGAGUCUGAUCCAAAGCCUGCUGAAGUUAAUGGGAGUAUCUUGGUUUUGUGCAUUUUUUUCCCCCUAUUUCAGUGGACACACGAAAGCGGAGCGCUGGUAGUACCGACAUCCUGGGCCUCCUGGGUCCUGGCAGCAGCCUGGCUACAGCAACAGUGGAGCCCAGAUGAGCUACUGCUGCUUGAGGUGUGUGUGUGUGGGGGAAAUUAUCCUGGUGAAUCUGUGUGCUAAUUCAGCUAGACUAUUUCCCCUACCCAAACCAUGUUCUUGAAAACUAUCACUUUAUUGUGCUAUCCAUUGUGACUUUUCAGAUUUCUGUGUAGACAUUCCCCAUGGACAGAUCCCUUCCUAAUCUUUUCUCCUGUAAAUAGAUUGAGC